CUGGUUGAUCCUGCCAGUAGUCAUAUGCUUGUCUCAAAGAUUAAGCCAUGCAUGUCUAAGUCCAAGCUGUGUUCACACGGCGAGACCGCGGACGGCUCAUUAAAUCAGUCGUGGUCCAAAUGGGCCAGUGCAAAUCCUACUUGGAUAACUGUGGUAAUUCCAGAGCUAAUACAUGCAACUGAUAUCCCGAAGGCGGUGGUUGUGCUUGCUUGUCUUGCGCUCUCACUGCUCUGACGGAUGCUUUUAUUAGACCAAACUGCUGAGGACUUGAGGGCUUGCCUUCUUGUCUGACUCGUGUAAUGGUGACUCUGGAUAACCUUCUGACAAGCGCACGUACUUCUCUUCUGAGCGAGACGGCGCUGCCACUUUCGAGUGUCUGCCUUAUCAGCUAUCAACCGUUCGUUAUGCGCGACCGAUGGCUUUGACGGGUAACGGGGAAUCAGGGUUCGAUUCCGGAGAGGCAGCCUGAGAGACGGCUACCACGUCCAAGGACGGCAGCAGGCACGCAAAUUACCCAAUCCCAGCAAAUGGGGGAGGUAGUGACGAAAUCUAACGAUGCGGGCGCCCUUUCUGGGGCCCCGCAAUCGGAAUGGGCACUUUCUAAACAACCUGUUGAGAACCUACUGAAGGGCAAGUCUGGUGCCAGCAGCCGCGGUAAUUCCAGCUUCAGCAGCAUCUAUUAAAGUUGCUGCRGUUAAAARGCUCGYAGUUGAAUGUCUGUAUCGAGCGCAGGUCAGGUGGACGUU
Molecule: ribosomal RNA, 746 nt
Filed under: Micruropus crassipes
Lineage: Eukaryota; Metazoa; Arthropoda; Malacostraca; Amphipoda; Micruropodidae
Also listed under: 1 other name
Description: bacterial SSU rRNA
Rfam family: Eukaryotic small subunit ribosomal RNA
Source: RNAcentral